This 433-nucleotide ribosomal RNA is filed under the name uncultured bacterium. RNAcentral describes it as "partial 16S ribosomal RNA". It matches the Rfam family "Bacterial small subunit ribosomal RNA", at positions 29 to 507 of the family's 1533-position model. The record is from RNAcentral.
AACGAACGCUGGCGGCAGGCCUAACACAUGCCAGUCGAGCGAGGACUUCGGUCCUAGCGGCGGACGGCGGAGGACCACGUGGUAAGGUGCCCUUGGCUACGGAAUAGCUCUGGGAAACUGGGCGUCAUACCGGAGGGGCCCUUUGGGGGAAAGAGUUAUCGGCGAAGGAUCGGCCCUCGUAGGAUUAGGCAGUUGGUGGUGUAAUGGCGUGCCAAGCCGACGAUCCAUAGCUGGUAGGAGAGGAUGAUAAGCCACACUGGGACUGAGACACGGACCAGACUCCUACGGGAGGCAGCAGUGGGGAAUAUUAGGGAAUGAGGGAAGCCCUGGUCUAGCCGUGCGGCGUGAGCGAUGAAGGGCGUAGGGUUGUAAAGCUCUUUCAGCUGAGAAGAUAAUGACGGUACCAGCAGAAGAAGCCCCGGCUAACUCCGUG